Molecule: ribosomal RNA, 253 nt
Filed under: uncultured bacterium
Lineage: Bacteria
Description: partial 16S ribosomal RNA
Rfam family: Bacterial small subunit ribosomal RNA
Source: RNAcentral
UACGGAGGGUGCGAGCGUUGUCCGGAAUUACUGGGCGUAAAGCGCGUGUAGGCGGUCUCGCAAGUCGGGUGUGAAAGCCCAGGGCUCAACCCUGGAAGUGCAUUCGAUACUGCGAGGCUAGAGUCCCGGAGAGGAUGGUGGAACUCUCGGUGUAGAGGUGAAAUUCGUAGAUAUCGAGAAGAACACCGGUGGCGAAGGCGGCCAUCUGGACGGUGACUGACGCUGAGACGCGAAAGCGUGGGGAGCAAACAGG